Haliaeetus leucocephalus (bald eagle) is the source of this 333-nucleotide long non-coding RNA. RefSeq lists it as uncharacterized. The transcript has 3 exons. The record is from RefSeq and is a predicted model, not a curated record. Lineage: Eukaryota; Metazoa; Chordata; Aves; Accipitriformes; Accipitridae.
UGUCAGCUUUUUGGCUUUUUAUUUUAGUGACUGGAGGAGCAUCCUGGCAAAGCACCGGCACAGAGAAGGACCUGGUGGGUCCCUGGUGCCGUGCUGCAGUCUCAAGGUGUUCUUGACCCUGCUCGCCUUGUUGCUGGUGGAGUUGAGGGACGUGCUUGUCCCCGGAGGGUGCUGCCGCCCCUUGGUGGCACCAGGGAUGGCGGAAGCUCUUCAGGAUGCAGGCUUCUUGCUUUUGCACAGGUGAAGAGUCGGCUGCUGUAAUGAUGCCAUCGCAGCAGAGAGCAGAGGAAGGGACCAGUUUUAGCCUCAAGUGCAUUAAAGACAAAAAGGUCC